This is a non-coding RNA of Schistosoma haematobium, 45 nucleotides long. Lineage: Eukaryota; Metazoa; Platyhelminthes; Trematoda; Strigeidida; Schistosomatidae. The record is from Rfam.
GUCCAGCCGAUGAGUCCCAAAUAGAACGAAACCCGCGUCCUGGAU